UAAUUGAAGUAGUUUGCUGUGUUUGGAGCUGGGGCUUGAGUGCAGCAGUCUGCAGGAGAGAAGCCCUCAAGUGUUUGCUGUUGAUUGCUCUGCAAAUACUUUGUCAAGGUCUGCCACUGAGCGCACUGGAGAGCCCCCCGUGCUCCUGUGAGAUGCCCCAUCCACCCCACCAGCUCAGCAUUCACGAGUUGUGCCUGGUACAUCAAGGAUGCUGAUUCUACACAAGUGGCCUCCCUUUGGACAAUUCUUGAUUUAGGAGAUUAACAGAUCCCCAAAUACAUGGAAUUCAGUUCUCUUCCUCUUCUUCCAGAAGACCACCUUCCUUUGAGUGUUGCUGCAGGAAAGGAGCUUUCAUCCAAGGAAGUAUCGUGUGAGAAUUUUCCAUUUAUAGUCUCUCCAAGACAUGGUAAUUCUACCAUGUCCCAGACGUACCGUUUUCCUGCCGGCUUGAGUUACGGAUGCUUUUGCUGGCUUUGGCCUCGCCAGCUGGAGCAACUCACAUUGUUGUCCAGACGACCGAACCGUUUCCGUCGCAGCCACCCACGAUGCAUCAUACUUUGUCUAGAACUAUGUGCAGCAGGCAGAGACAUCUAGCUGUUGAAUAAUAUACUACUAUCAAACGUCCUAUACAAGCAGUGGCACCUUGAAGAUGGAGGAGGAGGAGGAAGGCACCGUUGUGCCGGAUACUGUCCAACUGUAUAGUAAUAGAAAGUUCCUUCUCAAUGGAGUAUACAUAAGGGCAAACAAGCCCGGGAGGAGAAAGGUCCUUGAAAGGAAAAGUAACUUGGCCAAAGUCAUAUAAUAAUACAUGCAGAUCACAAAUCCAGAUCCUGUGAUCCUGCCUAAAUUCUGCACUGCUGUUAUGGCUUUCCAUUAGAAUACCGUUAUUUUUUAACACAAAGUCUUGUCUUCCCUUAUUUUACAAUGAAAGAAAGUGAAGAACUAAAAUACAUUUUUUUUUUAAAAAAGGUUGGUCAUUCUGAAUUCCUGUUAAUAAAAUAAAAUUAAAAAAAAAACAAACAAAUUACAAUGAUGCACCCUAUUUGAUGGAUGAAAACUCUUGUUAAUUUCAUCCAAAUUCUCUGGCGAGGCAAAGAAGAGAUUUUUUUUUAUUUUAUUUAUUUAUUUUUUUUGCUUACAAUUUUGUGGUGCAUGUCUACACUAGCAUGUCUAUACUUUUAUAAAAUUCCAUUCAAGCUCUAUUUAAUAUGCAGCAGAAUUAUUGUACUUGCUAUAUAUCAACUUUAAAUCUGCUUCAAUACAACCUUAAAUGCCUUUCUUGCAGUAUAUCACUUCAUCAGUCUAGCUGAACUAGAGCUGCUUUGUCAUUUUUUUAUUGCACUCAUAAAAUCUAGGAAUGGAACACUUUGAUUUUUCUAGCAGUAAUUUUUAUUAUUUAGGGUUUUUUUAAAGUACUUGUCAAUGAGAUGCAGUACUUGUACAGAGUAUAUUUUUCAGCUCUGCAUUAUAUUUUUAUUUCAAUUUAUUUUAGACGGAAUGCAUAACAUUCAUCUAAAUAAUACCUAUGGUAUUUCAAAUGAGUGUAUUAUGACUAUAAUUAGAAUGAAUAUAAACCUACUUCGUUCAUCAAGCUUCCUAUAUUUUGUUCCCUGCAUCUAAGCAUAUGGCAUCUUUCAUGUAAGCCUUUAAAUGAUAACUCACACUAUGCUUUUAAUGCUGCACAUAACAUCGUAUCACAAUGUGGGGGAGGGAGGGAAAUUAGGUUCUUGUAAUUUUAAUGUUUUAAUUUCAAUUUUUUAGAGCUGUCUAGAUUUUUCCUUGGAGUGAGUUGUACCAGAACUUUUUAUUCCCCCCCACAACCUUAGGCAUAUAGAAAUUGCCAUAUUAAAUCAGGCCGGUAAUCUA
Molecule: long non-coding RNA, 1866 nt
Organism: Alligator mississippiensis (American alligator)
Lineage: Eukaryota; Metazoa; Chordata; Crocodylia; Alligatoridae
Exons: 7
Source: RefSeq, a predicted model, not a curated record